GACGAACGCUGGCGGCGUGCUUAACACAUGCAAGUCGAACGGAAAGGCCCUGCUUUUGUGGGGUGCUCGAGUGGCGAACGGGUGAGUAACACGUGAGUAACCUGCCCUUGACUUUGGGAUAACUUCAGGAAACUGGGGCUAAUACCGGAUAGGAGCUCCUGCUGCAUGGUGGGGGUUGGAAAGUUUCGGCGGUUGGGGAUGGACUCGCGGCUUAUCAGCUUGUUGGUGGGGUAGUGGCUUACCAAGGCUUUGACGGUUAGCCGGCCUGAGAGGGUGACCGGCCACAUUGGGACUGCGAUACGGCCCAGACUCCUACGGGAGGCAGCAGUGGGGAAUAUUGCACAAUGGGCGGAAGCCUGAUGCAGCAACGCCGCGUGCGGGAUGACGGCCUUCGGGUUGUGAACCGCUUUCGCCUGUGACGAAGCGUGAGUGACGGUAAUGGGUAAAGAAGCACCGGCUAACUACGUG
RNAcentral lists this ribosomal RNA (468 nucleotides) under uncultured bacterium. RNAcentral's name for it is "partial 16S ribosomal RNA". It matches the Rfam family "Bacterial small subunit ribosomal RNA", at positions 28 to 507 of the family's 1533-position model. The record is from RNAcentral.